AGAAACACCAGAGACAACACUACGCGUUGUAGCCAUCAUUAUAAGGUAUUUACAUUUAAGGGUUUUCAAAGUAAUCUAUUGUGUAAUGUUUUGUCUUAAAUAUUUUAUUUAGUUUCAUUUACUUUGCUAAUUGUAUUUCAAACUUAAUAUUUUUUUAUUUACCUGUAAUUAAUUUUCAAUGUUGUAGUAUUGUAUACAGUCGUAUGGUCAACUUACUUUAGGGAACAGUUUUCAUUAGCAUUGAAUAACAAAUUGUUUACAUUCAGAGUUGCCAUUUAAUUGUAAUUUGCAUUAUUAUUUAUUUGCAAUUGUGUAAUUAAACAUAAUAUACAUUAUUUGCUACAAAAUGAUAUAUUCAUAAUGCAUUUAUAUGUACAGUUGUCUUUAUUUGCCAUCUGCAUAUUUCAUAUCUAUCAUUACCUUCUAUGUUAUAUUUAAUAAAGAAUAUGAACGCUCUGCAUUCAAUUCAUCUGAGCCUUAUUCCACCUGGUCACAAAAAUAAUAUUGAAAGUUCAUAUUUUAAAAGUUAAUUUUCACACAUUAAUUAAACUCUUUUCAAGUAUUCCUUAUUCAAAUAAGAAAAGAUUUCCAAUCUUUUUUCAACUUUAAUCUUCAUUUAAUAUGUACACAUUCCUCUUUUGACUUCUACUGAUUCUUUUUUUAUAUUAUUUGUGUGAAUAAGUUUAAGUUUCGAUAGUUUUGUGAUUAUUUAAUUAAACUGAGUUGAAUCUAUGAUCAACAUUUACAAAUUGGAAGAUAGUUCAGCGUCAAUUUAAAUUAUACCUUAAGGUUUGCAAAAGUGAUAAUUUUGGAAUUUUUCUAUUGCUGAUUAUUUAUUGGCAAAUGUUUUUUUUUAAUUUUUUUAAUAUGAGCGGUAAAUAAAGAGCAGUCGAAGAGUUUAUAAAAAUCUUAACAGUUUUGAUACAAUUGACACUGUAGUUGCAAAAUAUUGAUGUCGAUUUGUUGGAUUUAUCAUCGACACCAGAGGAACACGAUUAAUUUGAGUUUGUUUCAGGUGCUGUCGGUCCGGUACAGUCUUCUUAAAGUGAGGAAGAUGCUUCGAUUCCUAAAAUAACUUGGUGAAUUCAAAAGUAAAUGAGUAGAAAAAUAAAUUUUGAGGGUACAGCUGUUUGAGAAAAAGAGGGAUGAUCCAAGGAAGCAACAACUUUAAGAGCUAUCUUAAAAACAACUACAGGAAGAAGUAGCUGUGAUGUCGGAGUCCAUUGUCGAGAUCAAAGAAAAAGAAACAGAAAGAAAAGGCGUUAGAAAGCAAAAACAUGGUACAUAAGCACGUUGAGUUUAAGCGAUUCUAAAUUCAAAUAUUUUCCGGAA
This 1332-nucleotide long non-coding RNA is filed under the name Mytilus galloprovincialis (Mediterranean mussel). The record is from RNAcentral. Lineage: Eukaryota; Metazoa; Mollusca; Bivalvia; Mytilida; Mytilidae.